UACGUAGGGGGCAAGCGUUGUCCGGAAUCAUUGGGCGUAAAGAGCGUGUAGGCGGCCAGAUAAGUCCGCUGUGAAAUCUCGAGGCUCAACUUCGAGCUGUCGGUGGAAACUGUCUGGCUAGAGUCCGGAAGAGGAGAGUGGAAUUCCCGGUGUAGCGGUGAGAUGCGCAGAUAUCGGGAAGAACACCCGUGGCGAAGGCGGCUCUCUGGGACGGUACUGACGCUGAGACGCGAAAGCGUGGGGAGCGAACAGG
RNAcentral lists this ribosomal RNA (253 nucleotides) under uncultured bacterium. RNAcentral describes it as "partial 16S ribosomal RNA". It matches the Rfam family "Bacterial small subunit ribosomal RNA", at positions 524 to 776 of the family's 1533-position model. The record is from RNAcentral.